UGAGGCCAGCCAUGACAUCAGAGAGA
This 26-nucleotide non-coding RNA is filed under the name Mus musculus (house mouse). RNAcentral also lists the same sequence under 1 other name. The record is from RNAcentral. Lineage: Eukaryota; Metazoa; Chordata; Mammalia; Rodentia; Muridae.